Molecule: ribosomal RNA, 491 nt
Filed under: uncultured bacterium
Lineage: Bacteria
Description: bacterial SSU rRNA
Rfam family: Bacterial small subunit ribosomal RNA
Source: RNAcentral
GACGAACGCUGGCGGCACGCUUAACACAUGCAAGUCGAACGGAGAUAAUUUGAGUUUACUUAGAUUAUCUUAGUGGCGGACGGGUGAGUAACACGUGAGCAACCUACCUUUGAGAGAGGGAUAGCUUCUGGAAACGGAUGGUAAUACCUCAUAACGUAGUUUUACCGCAUGAUAGGACUACCAAAGAUUUAUCACUCAAAGAUGGGCUCGCGUCUGAUUAGCUAGAUGGUGAGGUAACGGCUCACCAUGGCGACGAUCAGUAGCCGGACUGAGAGGUUGAACGGCCACAUUGGGACUGAGACACGGCCCAGACUCCUACGGGAGGCAGCAGUGGGGAAUAUUGCACAAUGGGGAAACCCUGAUGCAGCGAUGCCGCGUGGAGGAAGAAGGUUUUCGGAUUGUAAACUCCUGUCUUAAAGGACGAUAAUGACGGUACUUUAGGAGGAAGCUCCGACUAACUACGUGCCAGCAGCCGCGGUAACUAGUCUACG